RNAcentral lists this ribosomal RNA (512 nucleotides) under uncultured bacterium. RNAcentral's name for it is "bacterial SSU rRNA". It matches the Rfam family "Bacterial small subunit ribosomal RNA", at positions 17 to 518 of the family's 1533-position model. The record is from RNAcentral.
UUCUGGCUCAGGAUGAACGCUAGCGACAGGCUUAACACAUGCAAGUCAGGGGCAGUCACGGGAGUAGCCAAUACAACUGGUGGCGACCGGCGCACGGGUGAGUAACGCGUAUGCAACCUACCUAUCAGAGGGGAAUAACCCGGCGAAAGUCGGACUAAUACCGCAUAAACAGGGGCACGCAUGGUGAUAUUUGUUAAAGAAAUUCGCUGAUAGAUGGGCAUGCGUUCCAUUAGGUAGUUGGUGAGGUAACGGCUCACCAAGCCGACGAUGGAUAGGGGAACUGAGAGGUUGGUCCCCCACACUGGUACUGAGACACGGACCAGACUCCUACGGGAGGCAGCAGUGAGGAAUAUUGGUCAAUGGGCGGGAGCCUGAACCAGCCAAGUCGCGUGAAGGGAAAAGAAGGAUCUAUGGUUCGUAAACUUCUUUUGCAGGGGAAUAAAGUGCAGGACGUGUCCUGUUUUGUAUGUACCCUGAGAAUAAGGAUCGGCUAACUCCGUGCCAGCAGCUGC